RNAcentral lists this long non-coding RNA (3304 nucleotides) under Homo sapiens (human). Its description in RNAcentral is "HSALNT0357080". The record is from RNAcentral. Lineage: Eukaryota; Metazoa; Chordata; Mammalia; Primates; Hominidae.
GCAGGGCCGAGCUGGGCUACAGUGUGUCUGUCUUGAGCUGCAGAAACUUGACUCUUUAACUGGGACAGACAGUGCUGUCAAGACAAAGCUUCCAAGGAUACAGCCUCUCCAGCACCUUAAAUUUAUCCAACAGACUUCUGCCAGUCUGUCUAAAAUAACAGAGAAGUAGAGGUGAUUCCUGCUCUUCCUCUUUGAACUUGGGCCAGCCUUGUGAUUUGCCUUGACCAACUGGACAUGGAGGAAGUGAUACUGUGCCGGUGCUUAGCCCGGCCUUUUAGAGGCCUGGCAUCUUCAGCUCUCUCUCAGGAGAAUACUUGUACCUGGAUCUUCACUAGGGGUAAGUCCUUGUUCUCGAUUUUAAACAUUUAUUUAGCCAACUAAGUGCUCUAUUAAUUCUAGUUGAAGGGGAGAUGCAGAGACAGUGUUCUAGUUGCUAAUGCUGUGUGAGAAAGCACCCCAGAAGGUCGUAGGUGAAACAACUAUCUUAAGAUGCUGGCUGAUCGGGGCUGGGGCAUUCAGAAGGGCCAAAGCAAGAGUGGCUUGUCCCUGCUCUAUGGUUCUUGGAUAACUCAAAGGGCUGGGGGCUGAGAGAGUGGAGGAAGGAGGACACACUUCCAGAUGGCUUGCUUGUUCAUGCACGUGGUUAUGCACCGGGCAGGAACAGGGACAGCCAGAGGGCCAAGCUCAAACUGACAGCUAAAGAGCCCAGAGGGGCAGUCCUUGGGGGAGGCGGUGCCCACUGCCUGCCUUAUAGACCGUAUCCCUACCAUCACCUUGACUUACUUUCCGCUAUAUGUUAUUGGAGGGAGCAGUCCCUAGCCGUCCUAGAUUCAAAUGAGGGGUAUAGACCUCACCUCCCAAGGUGGAGUCAGUAACAGGGAACUGUGGGCCACAUUUAAAACCAUGACAGGCUAGUGAAUGGCUUUCUGGGAGAUUUAUGGGUGAAGGGAGGAGGAGAGUCUUGAAGAAGCCCAGAUUCAGUCAUUCUAAGCGUUUGUCACAAAUGGAUCUAUCAUCUGGGUUUCAAAUACAGCUCUCAGAUGACUGCUCUUCAAGAGGCUGGGCACAGUGGCUUAUACCUAUAAUCCUAGCACUUUUAGAGGCUAAGGCGGAUGGAUCAGCUGAGGUCAGGAGUUCGAGACCAGCCUGGCAAAAACGGUGAAACCCCAUCUCUACUACAAAUACAAAAAUUAGCUGGGUGUGGUGGUGCACACCUGUAAUCCCAGCUAUUUGGGAGGCUGAGGCAGGAGAAUUGCUUGAACCCAGGAGACAGAGGUUGCAGUCAGCAGAGAUUACCACCACUGCAUUCCAGCCUGGGUGACAGAGUGAGACUCCAUCUCAAAAAAAUGAAACAAAAAACAAAACAAACAAACAAACAAAAAACAAAGACUGCCUUGUGUUUCCUUGCAGGCAGCCAGGGCAGAAUGCGGUGUUCUCAAGACUGCCAUGCUGGCUCAUCCAUACCUUGUUGGACUUGAUAAGUAUCGUAACCUAAUGAAGGAUGCCAUUCUGUGCUCUGCAAGGCCUGGGGGAGCCCCAGUGGGAAGGGAUCCAGAUGGUGCUGGGCCUGGGCCAAAAGUGAAAUGGGGGAGGACGGGUCCUUUCUCUCCUUUGUCCCUAACCUCCCCACUUCCUACUGCUGUCUGACUCAGAACCCUCAUGAAAAACCCAACUUUUUACACUGAUAUUUCCCAGAGGCCUAAUUGUGCAACAAGAAAUAAAAACACAAUUAGGGAACUGAGGUCCAGCAGGAAAUUCAUGUUACAUAAAUAAGACCUGGAGUGCAUAGGGGAGUGCCCCAGCUCUCAGCCUUGUUAGUAUUGAAGGCUCCGAGCACACAGAUCUGGGAUCCUCUGAUUUGGUGGAUAACCCUUGUGAACAAUAAUUCUCUGAAAAGGUAUUUGGAGGAAAGAGACUUUAUUCCUGUAAACAGUUUUCAAACUAGGGGAAUGCAGCUUUCAGUGUAAAAUGAAGGUGCUUUCCAGACAACAAAGGAGGGGCUGGGCUUUUAUAGAGAAAGUUCCUGCCCUGUUCCCACUCAGGUCCACUUAUGCAAAUAAAGGAUUCAAACUUGCUUAAUCUGAUUGGUUGAUGCUUGCUGAGUUCUGAUUUGUUGACACAGGUCAUAGUCUAUUGGUUGGUUCCGGCAACAUAAACAAGAACAGGAAGCUAUGAAAGUCCCAAAGUUAAGCAGAUGUGGGUUUUCUGGGAACUCAAAAACAUGUGUGACUUCUAGUCAGCAAGUUGCCGCUUGGCUCUAAAUUGAAUUUAGGCCCUGUUAGCCAGAGUGUGAACCUUGAGAGAGCCGGCCUUUCAAGGUUCACACUCUUCACAUGGGCUGGAGAGAUUCCUAUCAUAACUGAUUUAUCCAUUCACCCAUUGACAGGCACUUGGAUUGCUUCCACCUUUAGGGUGUUGUGGACAACAUCAACACUGCUACAAACAUGGGUGGACAAAAGGCUAGUUCUCCUCAACCAUGGUGUAUGUAGCUGGAGGGAAAAUGCCAAAAGCUGCAUUAUGAGAAACAGUAAAGUCAAAACUGGAAAGAUGGAUCAAAGCGUGAUGUCUCCCUGAAGCCCCUCCUACUAGGCUUGAGGUGAAGGAGAAGCACAGGAAGAAAAGUGCCUCAGUGCUCCAACAACUUUUUCCAAAGAAGCCCUCUUUCUCAUUUCCAACUUUAAACCUUUUAAAACUUUGAUUGGCAUAGAGCUAAGGGUUGGAGAACAUUGUCACUUCCCUCCUUUGCAAGUCUGUGUGGAUAGUUGUAUGUUAUCUCCAAAGGUGGCCACCAUCAUUUCCUUCUCUCCCUAUAUGUGAUUUCCUUCUCUAUUGGCUCCAUUCAUCAAGAAGUAGAGGCGAUUCCUGCUCUUCCUCUUUGAACUUGGGCCAGUCCUGUGAUUUGCCUUGACCAAUUGGACAUGGAGGAAGUGAUACUGUGCCAGUGCUUAGCCUGGCCUUUGAGAGGCCUGGCAUCUUCAGCUCUCUCUCAGGAGAGAAUGCAGCAGGCAUGUAAGAAGGCUGAUGAAUCAGACCACCAUAUUAUGAGGAAGCCCAAGCUAGCCACAUGGAAAUGGCACACAAAGGAAAGCUGAGGAACGAAACCAACAGAAGCAUCAGGUCCCCAGCCAUAUGACCCAGUUAAGCCACCUUAGCUAUGUGGUAUUCCAGGUAAGGUUCCCUGCUAUGUGGUAUUCCAGGUAAGGUCCCAGAAUUUAGUCAUGGAGGUGAGCCAUUCCCUCUGUGCCUUGUACAAAUUUCUGAGCCAAAUAAUUUUGAGAAAAUAAAAGACCUAUUUUAUACUGUG